This 373-nucleotide ribosomal RNA is filed under the name uncultured bacterium. Its description in RNAcentral is "bacterial SSU rRNA". It matches the Rfam family "Bacterial small subunit ribosomal RNA", at positions 527 to 898 of the family's 1533-position model. The record is from RNAcentral.
GUAGGGCGCAAGCGUUGUCCGGAAUUAUUGGGCGUAAAGAGCUCGUAGGCGGUCUGUUGCGUCCGUCGUGAAAGCCCACAGCUUAACUGUGGGUCUGCGGUGGAUACGGGCAGACUAGAGGCAGGUAGGGGAGAACGGAAUUCCCGGUGUAGCGGUGAAAUGCGCAGAUAUCGGGAGGAACACCGGUGGCGAAGGCGGUUCUCUGGGCCUGUACUGACGCUGAGGAGCGAAAGCGUGGGGAGCGAACAGGAUUAGAUACCCUGGUAGUCCACGCCGUAAACGUUGGGCGCUAGGUGUGGGGUUCUUCCACGGAUUCCGCGCCGUAGCUAACGCAUUAAGCGCCCCGCCUGGGGAGUACGGCCGCAAGGCUAAA